Molecule: ribosomal RNA, 450 nt
Filed under: uncultured bacterium
Lineage: Bacteria
Description: bacterial SSU rRNA
Rfam family: Bacterial small subunit ribosomal RNA
Source: RNAcentral
UCGAGCGGAUGACGGGAGCUUGCUCCUUGAUUCAGCGGCGGACGGGUGAGUAAUGCCUAGGAAUCUGCCUGGUAGUGGGGGACAACGUUUCGAAAGGAACGCUAAUACCGCAUACGUCCUACGGGAGAAAGCAGGGGACCUUCGGGCCUUGCGCUAUCAGAUGAGCCUAGGUCGGAUUAGCUAGUUGGUGGGGUAAUGGCUCACCAAGGCGACGAUCCGUAACUGGUCUGAGAGGAUGAUCAGUCACACUGGAACUGAGACACGGUCCAGACUCCUACGGGAGGCAGCAGUGGGGAAUAUUGGACAAUGGGCGAAAGCCUGAUCCAGCCAUGCCGCGUGUGUGAAGAAGGUCUUCGGAUUGUAAAGCACUUUAACUUGGGAGGAAGGGCAGUAAGCUAAUACCUUGCUGUUUUGACGUUACCGACAGAAUAAGCACCGGCUAACUCUGUG